GUGCUCACUUUGGCAGCACAUAUACUAAAAUUAGGCAAUGUAGAUAAGAUUAGCAUGGCACCUAUAUAAGGCUGACAUGCAAAUCCAUGAAAUGUGCCAUAUUUUA
Pipistrellus kuhlii (Kuhl's pipistrelle) is the source of this 106-nucleotide small nuclear RNA. Lineage: Eukaryota; Metazoa; Chordata; Mammalia; Chiroptera; Vespertilionidae. The record is from RefSeq and is a predicted model, not a curated record.